CGGCGGACGGGUGAGUAACACGUGGUAACCUACCUAUAAGACUGGGAUAACUUCGGGAAACCGGAGCUAAUACUGGAUAAUAUUUCGAACCGCAUGGUUCGAUAGUGAAAGGUGGUUUUGCUAUCACUUAUAGAUGGACCCGCGCCGUAUUAGCUAGUUGGUAAGGUAACGGCUUACCAAGGCGACGAUACGUAGCCGACCUGAGAGGGUGAUCGGCCACACUGGAACUGAGACACGGUCCAGACUCCUACGGGAGGCAGCAGCC
RNAcentral lists this ribosomal RNA (265 nucleotides) under uncultured Staphylococcus sp. Its description in RNAcentral is "partial 16S ribosomal RNA". It matches the Rfam family "Bacterial small subunit ribosomal RNA", at positions 96 to 355 of the family's 1533-position model. The record is from RNAcentral. Lineage: Bacteria; Bacillati; Bacillota; Bacilli; Caryophanales; Staphylococcaceae.